GAUUUCACCAUGUUGGCCAGGCUGGUCUCAAACUCUUGAUCUCAAGUGAUCUGUCUGUCUCGGCCUCCCAAGUGCUGGGAUUACAGGUGUGAGCCACUGUGCCCGGCCCCAGCUAGUGUUUCUGUUCUUGGUGGGCCUUGAAUUCUGCUUUUUGUCUCCUUAGCCCUACAAAAGAUCUUUGUGUUUCUUUGUCACUCUUGCAGCAACAGCAGUCACCUGUAGACUAAAAGCAGUCCUAAACAAGGUCAUUCUUUAUAACCUUGUCAAUCUUAUAUCUUUAGCAGAUGUUUGGCCCCUGAGCUGACAGUCCACUGUAGACUUGGGGUGUGGGCUUAUUCUUCACUCUGGGCCACUGAGACCCAUUUCUGAGAGAGAUCCAUGAACUGAAUCUGAAGGACAUUCAUGGGGUGUGUGCCAGAUCCCUACUGACUCCAGUAAGGCUGGCACCAUGUCUGAGAGCUGGAGCCAGCGAACGAGAUCUAGGGUUUAUUGGGAGACUUCAUACCGGGCAGCCCAGUGGCAGCAGACUAGACAGGAAGAUUGCUACCCUUUGUAAAAAGCAGAUAGUUGAUGUAGAUUUUCAUUUAGCACCCUCCACCUAGCAACCUCUAUUUAACCCAGAACAAAGCGCUCCUAGCCCCUGUACAGUCUGCAUUCCAAGGGCUGGGCCAGGGGUUUGGAUGUCCUUCACAGAUAAGGAGUGAGUCUACAAAUUGGCCACUCCUGGAUUCCCUAACUCAGAACUCUGCCAACACUCUUCUUAGACCAUACCACCAUGCUCAGGGUCAGCAUCGGUGAUGGCUGUCAGAUGCCUCUGUCAUACCCAGAGGUGGCCCACAUACCCUGGUGCUCUGUCUGUGCUGCUGGUGUUUGUGUGCAGCACCCCAGAGGAGCUUGAGGGGGGUCCUGGCGUACCUGCUGACUCACCUCCUUUUUGACCUGCUUGCGGCCCCUCUCAGGGCUUCUUUUUUUUCCAGAAAAUUUAUUAAUAAUAUAUGAAUGUUCAAAUUAAAAAAAAAUAAGUAUUUCCACCAUUUUAUCAUGUACGUUUUUGAAUGGCAUUAUAGAAUGCCAUCUCAGGAGUUCAAAGUCAGGGUGACAGUGACAGAUUCAUUUCCUAAAUGCUUGGAAGGGAAAUGCAGAGGAGAAUUCAAAGUCUUACCUUAAAGCCUUUGGAUAGCGACAUGCACACAGCAUUCCAGAGCACGGCUAGGUUCUGCCCAGGGCCCUCUGCCCCCUCCUCCGUCACUGUCCUUUGCUGUUUGCCCUUCAGCCUGAUGGGCCUAGGCACCCCUAAAAAGGUGGGUGCCUUGGCCACAGAGCACCUGCUGCAUGGCGGACCAGAAUAGCAACAUGCAUGCCAGGAAUAACUAUAAGCACGGACAGAGCAGGAAAGCGCCCUGAGUUUAUUUCAGGAGCUUGGGGGAGGAGCCAUAAAAGACUCAAAUGAGCCCUCAUCCCCAGACCAUCAAAAUCACUUUUAAAGCAUUUUCCUCCAGGGGACGGGAUUGGAUUCCAUCUUUCUUGGGUAGAAAUUCUUCUCGUGGUGGCAGUGCUGAGGCUCUUAGAAAAGGAUUUUUUAAAACAUGGUACAAAAAAGAAUCUAACCAGUGAAGUUGAUUAUUCUUAAGGAAGCUGCUUUUGAACAUGAUGUGUUUGCUAUCUGUGGUGUUAUGAUAGAUACAGGUUUUUGUCUGUGGCUCCUGGCUUGUAACUCCCGUAGCCUGUGUUAGGGUCUUUUGUUAAAACGUUGGGUGCUUUAGAAAAACAGAAUGUCUCUCGUCUUCCGACCUUCUUUCACCUGCCCUAAGACAGGACUCUAUUCCUCCUGCACCUUUCUGACUGUGGGUCUUCAGACCCUCUCCAGAGGGAGCCCUGCCCUAUGCCUUAGGGGAAGGAAUGGUGAUGGCAUGGAGCCGCCGCCAAAACCAAGAGGACUGGGUUCCGGAGCUUCCCGAGAGCUGAACACGUGGAGGUUCCUGGAGGGUGGUGCCCAGGGAGGGCAUGGACGCCCUGCGCCCCUUCCCCUGAUUUCACCCUACGAUCUCUUCAUCUGUCGUCUUUGUAGUAUCCUUUUAAUAAACUAGCAAACGUGUUUCUUACUGAGUUCUGUGAGCUGCUCCAACAAAUUAAUAGAACCCAAAGAGGGGGUUGAGGGAACUCUAACCUGAAGCUGGUUGGUCAGAAGUUCCAGAGGCCUGGACUUGCGCCUGGUGUCUGGGAGCAGGGCAGCCCUGAGGAUGUGCCCCUCUUCCCAGGUAGACAGCAUGGGAAUUGAACUGGAGGACACCCAGCUGGUGUCUGCUGCCUGGUAUGUGGGAGAAACCUCCACACUUUUGGUCACAGAAGUGUUCUGGGGUGAUGGUUACGGUGGCGUGACAGCAGAGGAAAAACACGAUUGAGUUUUUCCAAAACAGUAUCAUUGCUCAUUUCUAUUUUCCGGUAGGAAACUUAUGGUUUGGGCGUGUCCCUCCAACUGCUUGCUGGUGACCAAGGAGAAGGAACCACUUGGCUUUAUUUGAUAAUAAACAAAGCAUUAAGCCUGACCUGUUGGGUGUAGCACAAGUAGGUUAUGGAUUUCAGAUGAUGAAUUACUGAUCAAAAAUUGCAGUGAAAUCUCGAACUACAAAAUUAACUAACUGGUUAAGAUACUAAAUUUGAAAGGAGAGAUAAAUCCUUGUUUGGCUACAGGCAGCUUACAUUUUUCUCCUGGGUGAAAAGAAUAAAACAUGAAAAACCCUGAUGUGGACACAGCAUGUGGCCAACCAGGGAUCCCUUCUUCCAGGUGGUUGCUGUGCAGGUGUCCAGCUCUCACCUCACUGCUUAGGGCAAUGCAUUUUCUGCAAACGUGAGAACUCUGAUAGCAGCUGUUCCUUGGACUGGCAGGAAAUACUUACAUGCCUAACUGGUUCCGACCCAUGAACCAGCCUCUGAGGCUCCUGCUGGUCCUGGGAGGCCGACAGCAGACGGGCCUGGGCUCCUGCCUCUCCUGCAGAACUACUCCUUCCUUCCUGCUGCAGAAGUGCUCAGGCAAGGGCUGCUGAGCUCAUCAGAGCAGGGGACAUGUGGCUCAGACACCCUCAUCCACCCCCCAGAAAGUUCCAGGAUGAGUUAUGGAAACCUGGAAAGUCAGAAACACAGAGCACAAAUCUGGAACAGAUGUGUGUCGGGACUUUGUCGAGACAGAGUCCAUGGAAGAAAGUGAGAUGGCACAGUGGGUGCCAUCAGCGGCCUCGUGCUGCCCAGCUCUAAGUGCAGAGAGGCAGGAACAGACCUGGGUGCAGGAGGGCCAUGCUGCCUCCUGCAGUGAAGCCUGGUGGGGGUGAGGACUGCUCUGGUCACAUUUCCUUCCUUUCAUGGCCCCUGCACUGUUUGUGACAAGAGGGUAGACAUGGAGGGGCCUGGGAGGAUGGUCCCCACCUAGCUCUGAUGGCCGCAGGGCUGGCCAGUACCACCAGCUGCCGAUGCACGGCCCCUCAUCACUUCCAGCUUCCUGUCCCUCUGCGGGCAUGUCCAGGACAAGUGCAGAUUUAGGGACUUAGCCAAGCUACCCUGCAGCCUGGCUCAGCUCCUCCUUCCCUGCGUGACCCUGGGCAGAUGAUCUCAUCCCCUCUGAGCCUUCGUCCACAAAGCUGCAAUGGUGAUUGUCCCCGUCAGGCCUGUGACAGUGGCCAGGCUGUGUCAGGACAGCCCUGGGCCCACUACAGGAGCCCCGAGCCCCAGGGGAAAGUGGCCACUGCCCUGGCUCUUACUGUCCCUAUUCCUUCUUGAUUGUCCCUGUUCCUUCUUGUCACAGCAGCUCCUAUGCUAAAUUUCCUGCCUUCUGUACCACUAAGGGAGGACACUGGGCUGUGUUAUUCCUGGGCACAUCUACAACACUUAGUGAGCCCAGCACAAAGCAGUGCCCAGGUGUUUGUGGAAGGAGUCCAUGUCCUAUCUGCUGGGAUUCCUCUUUGUCCCUUUCUCUGAGUAGAUUAGGGCCCCUCACCUCCCUGAGAAAUUUUCCUUCCUGGGCUGUCCCUGCCUAGUGCAGAGCUCAGCCCUACUGCUUUGUGGAGCUUCUCCCAGGGUACUCCCAGACACUCCCUGGGAAUUGCAUGGCAGGGAGUCACCUCCGUUCUCUGGGCCAAGGGCAUGCCUGGGCUGAGGCUGCUUGCCCAGCUCAUCUGAAUGCAGAGGAAGACUUCUCUUUGCACCGAGGGGAAGGGUGCUAAUCACACCAUUGACUGAGUCUUCAGGGGCACUGGGGCAUAUCAAGAUCCUGGCAUCCAGGAACCAAACACCUGAGGGAGGAGAGGAGGCACGGGUGAGGCUGAGCAGGACAGAGGGCAGAAUGUGAGCUCAGCCUCCAAGAGGAAGGGAGCAGCAGUAGGGAGUAAUGAGACGGGAGGCUCCUGGGAGGAGGGACACAUGGCCCAUGCCUGUGCAAACACACCAUCGGGCAUGGCAGGAUUCUGUGCUCCGUGCAUGUGCCUAGCUCAGAUGUGUAAAACCCUGUGUGCAAGGAACAGAGUGCCACUGGGCUGCCACAGGUACGGCUGUGGGGACUAUUGCAUGUGCACCAGGAAAAUGGACCUGUAUGCUCCUGUCCCAGGUAACUGAAUCCAUUUGCUAUCAGAAUGGAAAACCAUUCAACCUGUUGGGAUCACUGGCAAUUUCUCAUCCUGUGACUCAGUGAUUUUACUCUAUGUGUGUUUUUUUUUUUUUUG
Sapajus apella (tufted capuchin) is the source of this 4709-nucleotide long non-coding RNA. RefSeq lists it as uncharacterized. The record is from RefSeq and is a predicted model, not a curated record. The transcript is spliced from 2 exons. Lineage: Eukaryota; Metazoa; Chordata; Mammalia; Primates; Cebidae.